AGAGUUUGAUCCUGGCUCAGAGCGAACGCUGGCGGCAGGCUUAACACAUGCAAGUCGAACGAGAAGCUAUCCUUCGGGAUAGUGGAGAGUGGCGAAAGGGUGAGUAACGCGUGGGCAUCUGCCUUUGAGUGGGGAACAACAGUUGGAAACGACUGCUAAUACCGCAUACGUCCUUCGGGAGAAAGGCUUCGGUCGCCUUAAGAUGAGCCCGCGCCGGAUUAGUUUGUUGGUGGGGUAACGGCCUACCAAGACUACGAUCCGUAGCUGGUCUGAGAGGAUGAUCAGCCACACUGGGACUGAGAUACGGCCCAGACUCCUACGGGAGGCAGCAGUGGGGAAUAUUGGACAAUGGGCGAAAGCCUGAUCCAGCCAUGCCGCGUGAGUGAAGAAGGCCUUAGGGUUGUAAAACUCUUUCAGUGGGGAAGAUAAUGACGGUACCCACAGAAGAAGCCCCGGCUAACUCCGUGCCAGCAGCCGCGGUAAUACGGAGGGGGCUAGCGUUGUUCGGAAUUACUGGGCGUAAAGCGAGCGUAGGCGGUUAGUCAAGUUGGUGGUGAAAGCCCGGAGCUCAACUCCGGAACUGCCAUCAAAACUGACGAGCUAGAGUUCGGGAGAGGGUAGUGGAAUUACCAGUGCAGAGGUGAAAUUCGUAGAUAUUGGGAAGAACACCAGUGGCGAAGGCGGCUACCUGGACCGAUACUGACGCUGAGGUGCGAAAGCGUGGGGAGAAAACAGGAUUAGAUCCCCUGGUAGUCCACGCCGUAAACGAUGAGUGCUAGACUUGGGGUCUUUGAACUCCAGUGCCGUAGCUAACGCGUUAAGCACCCCGCCUGGGGAGUACGGUCGCAAGAUUAAAACUCAAAGGAAUUGACGGGGGCCCGCACAAGCGGUGGAGCAUGUGGUUUAAUUCGACGCAACGCGCAGAACCUUACCAGCCCUUGACAUGGGAAGUGUGGGGUUUCCAGAGAUGGAUUCCUUCAGUUCGGCUGGAUUGGAUACAGGUGCUGCAUGGCUGUCGUCAGCUCGUGUCGUGAGAUGUUGGGUUAAGUCCCGCAACGAGCGCAACCCUCGCCUUUAGUUGCCAGCAAUUCGGUUGGGCACUCUAAAGGAACUGCCGGUGAUAAGCCGGAGGAAGGUGGGGAUGACGUCAAGUCCUCAUGGCCCUUAUGGGCUGGGCUACACACGUGCUACAAUGGCGGAUACAGUGAGUUGCUACCUGGUGACAGGAAGCUAAUCUCCAAAAUCCGUCUCAGUUCGGAUUGUUCUCUGCAACUCGAGAGCAUGAAGUUGGAAUCGCUAGUAAUCGUGGAUCAGCAUGCCACGGUGAAUACGUUCCCGGGCCUUGUACACACCGCCCGUCACACCAUGGGAGUUGGUUUUACCCGACGCUGGUGAGCUAACCUUUUAGGAGGCAGCCAACCACGGUAGAGUCAGCGACUGGGGUGAAGUCGUAACAAGGUAGCCGUA
This 1467-nucleotide ribosomal RNA is filed under the name uncultured prokaryote. RNAcentral's name for it is "partial 16S ribosomal RNA". It matches the Rfam family "Bacterial small subunit ribosomal RNA". The record is from RNAcentral.